CACGUAGGGUGCGAGCGUUGUCCGGAAUUAUUGGGCGUAAAGAGCUUGUAGGCGGUUUGUCGCGUCUGCCGUGAAAUUUCGAGGCUCAACCUCGAACUUGCGGUGGGUACGGGCAGACUAGAGUGUGGUAGGGGAGACUGGAAUUCCUGGUGUAGCGGUGAAAUGCGCAGAUAUCAGGAGGAACACCGAUGGCGAAGGCAGGUCUCUGGGCCACUACUGACGCUGAGAAGCGAAAGCAUGGGGAGCGAACAGG
RNAcentral lists this ribosomal RNA (253 nucleotides) under uncultured bacterium. RNAcentral's name for it is "partial 16S ribosomal RNA". It matches the Rfam family "Bacterial small subunit ribosomal RNA", at positions 524 to 776 of the family's 1533-position model. The record is from RNAcentral.